This 1207-nucleotide ribosomal RNA is filed under the name metagenome. RNAcentral's name for it is "bacterial LSU rRNA". It matches the Rfam family "Bacterial large subunit ribosomal RNA", at positions 1733 to 2925 of the family's 2925-position model. The record is from RNAcentral.
CUUUCGGGAGAAGGUGUGCCCGCCGACGUGAUGGAACUUGCUUCCUGAGCGUUGGCGGGUCGCAGUGAAAUGGGGGUUGCGACUGUUUACUAAAAACACAGGACUGUGCGAACUCGUAAGAGGACGUAUACGGUCUGACGCCUGCCCGGUGCUGGAAGGUUAAGGGGAGAGGUUAGCGCAAGCGAAGCUUCGAACCGAAGCCCCAGUAAACGGCGGCCGUAACGAUAACGGUCCUAAGGUAGCGAAAUUCCUUGUCGGGUAAGUUCCGACCUGCACGAGGGCGUAACGACAUCCCUACUGUCUCGGCCAGCGACUCAGCGAAAUUGUAUCGGGGGUGAAGAUACCCUCUACCCGCGGCAAGACGGAAAGACCCCAUGAACCUUUACUGCAACUUGGCAGUGAGGUUCGGAACAGUCUGCGUAGGAUAGGUAGGAGGCUUUGAAGUCGGGAUUCCGGUCUCGAUGGAGCCGUCGUUGAAAUACUACCCUGGCUUUUCUGGACUUCUAACCUAGGCCCCUCAACGGGGUCGGGGACACUGCCUGGUGGGCAGUUUGACUGGGGCGGUCGCCUCCCAAACAGUAACGGAGGCGCGCGAAGGUACCCUCAGGCUGAUUGGAAACCAGCCGGCGAGUGCAAUGGCACAAGGGUGCUUAACUGUGAGAGGGACACCUCGAGCAGGUGCGAAAGCAGGCCAUAGUGAUCCGGUGGUCCCGCAUGGAAGGGCCAUCGCUCAUCGGACAAAAGGUACUCUGGGGAUAACAGGCUGAUCGCGCCUGAGAGUCCAUAUCGGCGGCGCGGUUUGGCACCUUGAUGUCGGCUCAUCGCAUCCUGGGGCUGGAGCAGGUCCCAAGGGUUUGGCUGUUCGCCAAUUAAAGCGGUACACGAGCUGGGUUUAGAACGUCGUGAGACAGUUCGGUCCCUAUCUGCCGUGGGCGCAGGAUACUUGAGAGGAGCUGUUCAUAGUACGAGAGGACCUGAACGGACGCACCUCUAGUGUUCCGGUUGUCAUGCCAAUGGCAUAGCCGGGUAGCUAUGUGCGGAACGGAUAACCGCUGAAAGCAUCUAAGCGGGAAGCCGGCCUCAAGACAAGGUAUCCCGGGGCAUAAGCCCCCUGAAGGCCCCUUGAAGACUACAAGGUGAUAGGCGGGAGGUAGAAGCGCAGCGAUGCGCGGAGCUGACCCGUACUAAUAGGCCGUGCGGCUUGACC